This 368-nucleotide ribosomal RNA is filed under the name uncultured eukaryote. RNAcentral's name for it is "partial 18S ribosomal RNA". It matches the Rfam family "Eukaryotic small subunit ribosomal RNA", at positions 592 to 976 of the family's 1831-position model. The record is from RNAcentral.
CAGUAGCGUAUAUUAAAGUUGUUGCAGUUAAAAUGCUCGUAGUUGAAGUUCGGAUGCAGCAGAGCUUGGAAACGCUGUUAUGGUGCUUCCGUUGCUUUUGCUCGUCCACAGUGCGUUGCAAGUACGUAUGUGCUUGUGCGUGCAUUUUACUUUGAGAAACAUAGGGUGUUCCACGCAUGUUACGGCAUGAAUAUUCCAGCAUGGGAUAAUCUGGUACGACUUCCAAUCUGCCAUUUUGGUUCGUAGGUUGGAAGUAAUGAUUAAUAGGGACUGUCGGGGGCAUUGGUAUUUGACUGUCAGAGGUGAAAUUCUUAGAUUCGUUGAGGACCAACCACUGCGAAAGCAUUUGUCAAGGAUGUCUCCAUUAA